Molecule: ribosomal RNA, 350 nt
Filed under: oligotrophic bacterium
Lineage: Bacteria
Description: bacterial SSU rRNA
Rfam family: Bacterial small subunit ribosomal RNA
Source: RNAcentral
AAUUACGCCAACGUGAGACGGGUGAGUUAACGCGUGAGAACGUACCAUUUGGUUCGGGACCAACAACAGAGAAACUUGUGCUAAUACCGGAUAAACCCUUACGGGGAAAGAUUUAUCGCCGAGAGAUCGGCCCGCGUCUGAUUAGCUAGUUGGUGGGGUAAUGGCCCGCCAAGGCGACGAUCAGUAGCUGGUCUGAGAGGAUGAUCAGCCACAUUGGGACUGAGACACGGCCCAAACUCCUACGGGAGGCAGCAGUGGGGAAUAUUGGACAAUGGGGGCAACCCUGAUCCAACCAUGCCGCGUGAGUGAUGAAGUCCCUAGGCUUGUAAAUCUCUUUUGUUCGUGAAGAU